CUCUUCAUCUUCCACCACUUUCUUUUUGCUGGCUCUAGGUUUUGCUUUCUGUUUCUUCUCUGUCUUUUUGCUUGUCUUUUCAGCAUCUGCACGCUUCGGGCAUGUUCUUGCAUUAUGUGGUUCAUACUCCUUGCAUAUGCUACAAAGUCUGCUGCUUGCUUUCUGUGGGUGUGGUCCCUUCUUUUGUUCUAUAACUUUGGGCUGUUGUUUUUGAACUUUGGGUUGCUUGACCUCCUCGGCAUUGUUUCUUUCUAUGAGUGUUGGACAGGUGAGCUUGUUGUGUCCUGCAACCAUUUUGCACACAUUACAUUGCCUGUGUCCAAGUGGCACUCCGUUCUCAUCGAGCACGAUGACUCUUCCUGCAGAGUACAGCGGCAGUUUCAUCAUCUCUUGUUGCCGCUACUGCAUUAAUUGGUCAACACCCUGCUUGCAUUGGUUGGCUUGAGCAGCGGCGUUGAGCAUUUCAACUGCAUAAUAAUGAAGGUCAUCUUCAAUUUCAGCAUCCUCUUCAGCCAUCCUUUCGUCAGCAUCGGCUCGAUUUGCUGAAUGUAUUGCAUCAAGCUCUUCCACGAGCCUCUUGUGAACAUAGAAGGCUCUGUCAUAUUGUUGGUCACAUCUCAUCGCUUUCUUGUUAACCAUCAAAUUUAGCUAUAGCAAGAUGUCUUGCCUCGAUGGUCUUGAGCUGCCAUCCGAUGCAGUUGUGUUGUAGUCCCUUGUAUCAAAGGUUGGUUGUGAUUUUGCAGUCUUUGUGUACCGUUUGAGGAUAUACUUGUGUGGAAAUUUGUCAGGCUUCAGGUAGUCCAGUAUGUUCAUUAUGUGAAGGCAGAACAUGCUUGCAUUUUGUGAUGAAUGCAGAAUACAUAGUUUGUGAGCCAGCAAUGAGUUUCAUAUAUUUUGAUAUAA
Aegilops tauschii subsp. strangulata is the source of this 903-nucleotide long non-coding RNA. RefSeq lists it as uncharacterized. Lineage: Eukaryota; Viridiplantae; Streptophyta; Magnoliopsida; Poales; Poaceae. The record is from RefSeq and is a predicted model, not a curated record.